RNAcentral lists this ribosomal RNA (253 nucleotides) under uncultured bacterium. RNAcentral describes it as "partial 16S ribosomal RNA". It matches the Rfam family "Bacterial small subunit ribosomal RNA", at positions 524 to 776 of the family's 1533-position model. The record is from RNAcentral.
UACGAAGGGGGCUAGCGUUGUUCGGAUUUACUGGGCGUAAAGCGCACGUAGGCGGAUCGUUAAGUCGGGGGUGAAAUCCUGGAGCUCAACUCCAGAACUGCCUUCGAUACUGGCGAUCUCGAGUCCGGAAGAGGUGAGUGGAACUCCUAGUGUAGAGGUGGAAUUCGUAGAUAUUGGGAAGAACACCAGUGGCGAAGGCGACUCACUGGUCCGGUACUGACGCUGAGGUGCGAAAGCGUGGGGAGCAAACAGG